GACGACGCUCCAGACAGCUCGACGCGUCGGGUGUAUAACGUCGUACCUCUUGCACCUACUCGUUAAAGAGUCGCGAAGAGGGAAGUUAGGCGAGGGAGAAGGGUGAGCGAGGACGGAGGUGAAAGUGACGUGGAACAAAAGGGGGACGCAAGGAAGUCGCUUUUUCAAGACUUACGCAAGCGUGGCGUCAUCGGGGAGCCCAAAGAGUGAUUGACCUGCAAAAAUUAGUGACAGAUUGAUGGAAAUUGAUGAUGAAGGUAGAUUGGAAUUAAUGGCCCACCCG
RNAcentral lists this unclassified non-coding RNA (283 nucleotides) under Athalia rosae (coleseed sawfly). RNAcentral's name for it is "misc RNA ENSAEAG00005002835.1". The record is from RNAcentral. Lineage: Eukaryota; Metazoa; Arthropoda; Insecta; Hymenoptera; Athaliidae.